UUGAUAAGGUUGCCAAGUAAUUUCCCAAUUUGUUGCAACUUUAUGAUUAUGAUGAUAUUACUGGAAGCUUGGCUUGAACUAUUCAUAGGCCAUAUAAGAAGAUAUAUAUGAAUGGUUGAACUCUCAUUUGUUCCCCUCUAUCUUUUUGAUGUUUCACUUUUAUUCUAUUUGUACUGAUAGGGUGGAGGGGAACAUUUAAUUCUUUUUAUCUAUUAGUUUUCAGUUCUUAUCUUUGGCUUGUGGUACAACAAUCUGAUAGCUCGCAAGGCUCAUAACCUUGAGGUCACCGAAACUGCAGUUACUUUUCUAUCUUCAAUCAAUGGAUUACAAGUGCCACUAAAAGAAACAAAAGGAAUAUGACCUCUUCAACUAUGAUUGACAAGAAAGGGAAGUAGCAGUGACAAAAUAUGCAAGUUCAGGCAAGAUGCUAAAACUAGGAUCACCGACCCAACUUGGAAGCAACCCACUUUGCUUGGAAUUUUUCACGACUGAAAGAUAGCACUCUUUAGUAUAUUCACUAUUAGCUGGCAUUUGCUCUAUUUUUGGGGAUUCUUUAUUUUUUUUCCCUUGGUUUUCGCUGCUUGAAGAUGUGAUAUGUCUUCUUUAAGACUUCACAUUGACUGAUGAGCAUAGAGGG
Molecule: long non-coding RNA, 637 nt
Organism: Solanum tuberosum (potato)
Lineage: Eukaryota; Viridiplantae; Streptophyta; Magnoliopsida; Solanales; Solanaceae
Exons: 2
Source: RefSeq, a predicted model, not a curated record